Non-coding RNA from Phascolarctos cinereus (koala), 752 nucleotides. The record is from RefSeq and is a predicted model, not a curated record. NCBI's taxonomy places the organism in Eukaryota, Metazoa, Chordata, Mammalia, Diprotodontia, Phascolarctidae.
GGCCCAGCAUUAACCCCAGGUGUGCCAGGAUAUGGAGGCGAGAGUGGGGGGAGAGACUGAUCCCUGGAGAAAUUGCAACCUAGAGGAGGUUGAGGAUGCGCCCUGGAAGGUGAGAAUGGACUUGAAGCUCUGGGAUAGCGUCGACUCCCCAGAGGCCAGUGACCCGAGGAGGUGCUGGAGGUGCCUUUAGACUUCAGCUGAAUCUUGUUGUUCCAAAUUCUCCCCCUUCUCUCCGCCUCUCAUUUACCCAUUAUAUACGAAGUCAUGCAAAACACCUUUCUACGAGGGGAAGGAUGUGAUUUUCAUAUUCUGACCACCUGGUGGCAGCAGCAACAAUGAUUCAUCAGCCGGAUUUAGAAGAGGAACUGAUCUCUCACGUCUCUGGUCCAAGAGUUAGGGAGAUUUAGGUGUCUUCAAAUACCGGCAUGCAUAUGCCAUGCACAUGUAGCACCACGUCACACACAUGGUGUGUGAUGUCACAGUGUGACGUGGCAUGCUGUGUCACGUGAUGACAUGCAAUGCUAUGCCGCAGCUGUGUGAUUCUGUUGUACGUUGGCAUGUUUGUGUCAUGUCAUGCAUAUAUCAAGCCAUGUAUGUCACACCGCCACACCAUGUCAUUCAUUUGGCAGGCAUGUAUCAUGUUACAUUUAUCAUGGCAUGUGUGUGAUAUGACAUCACAUGACCUGACACAGGCAUGAUGUGACAUCGCAUGCUUCUUCUUACCCUUUUGUAGCCCUGGGCUCAAUAAAUGA